This 619-nucleotide ribosomal RNA is filed under the name Flavobacterium sp. R2_13. RNAcentral describes it as "bacterial SSU rRNA". It matches the Rfam family "Bacterial small subunit ribosomal RNA", at positions 46 to 665 of the family's 1533-position model. The record is from RNAcentral. Lineage: Bacteria; Pseudomonadati; Bacteroidota; Flavobacteriia; Flavobacteriales; Flavobacteriaceae.
GCCUAACACAUGCAAGUCGAGGGGUAGAAGGAGCUUGCUCCUUUGAGACCGGCGCACGGGUGCGUAACGCGUAUGCAACCUACCUUCCACAGGGGAAUAGCCCAGAGAAAUUUGGAUUAAUGCCCCAUGGCACAGCGAGACGGCAUCGUCUUGCUGUUAAAGUAACAACGGUGGAAGAUGGGCAUGCGUCCCAUUAGCUAGUUGGUAAGGUAACGGCUUACCAAGGCUAUGAUGGGUAGGGGUCCUGAGAGGGAGAUCCCCCACACUGGUACUGAGACACGGACCAGACUCCUACGGGAGGCAGCAGUGAGGAAUAUUGGUCAAUGGUCGCAAGACUGAACCAGCCAUGCCGCGUGCAGGAUGACGGUCCUAUGGAUUGUAAACUGCUUUUGUACGGGAAGAAACACUCCUACGUGUAGGGGCUUGACGGUACCGUAAGAAUAAGGAUCGGCUAACUCCGUGCCAGCAGCCGCGGUAAUACGGAGGAUCCAAGCGUUAUCCGGAAUCAUUGGGUUUAAAGGGUCCGUAAGCGGCCCUGUAAGUCAGCGGUGAAAUCUCCCAGCUCAACUGGGAAACUGCCGUUGAUACUGCAGGCUUGAAUCGCCGGGAAGUAACUAGA